This 505-nucleotide ribosomal RNA is filed under the name uncultured bacterium. Its description in RNAcentral is "partial 16S ribosomal RNA". It matches the Rfam family "Bacterial small subunit ribosomal RNA", at positions 28 to 507 of the family's 1533-position model. The record is from RNAcentral.
GACGAACGCUGGCGGCGUGCCUAAUACAUGCAAGUAGAACGCACAGUUUAUACCGUAGCUUGCUACACCAUAAACUGUGAGUUGCGAACGGGUGAGUAACGCGUAGGUAACCUGCCUGGUAGCGGGGGAUAACUAUUGGAAACGAUAGCUAAUACCGCAUAAUAUUGAUUAUUGCAUGAUAAUUGAUUGAAAGAUGCUAUUGCAUCACUACCAGAUGGACCUGCGUUGUAUUAGCUAGUAGGUGAGGUAACGGCUCACCUAGGCGACGAUACAUAGCCGACCUGAGAGGGUGAUCGGCCACACUGGGACUGAGACACGGCCCAGACUCCUACGGGAGGCAGCAGUAGGGAAUCGUCGGCAAUGGACGAAAGUCUGACCGAGCAACGCCGCGUGAGUGAAGAAGGUUUUCGGAUCGUAAAGCUCUGUUGUAAGAGAAGAACGGGUGUGAGAGUGGAAAGUUCACACUGUGACGGUAUCUUACCAGAAAGGGACGGCUAACUACGUG